RNAcentral lists this ribosomal RNA (253 nucleotides) under uncultured bacterium. Its description in RNAcentral is "partial 16S ribosomal RNA". It matches the Rfam family "Bacterial small subunit ribosomal RNA", at positions 524 to 776 of the family's 1533-position model. The record is from RNAcentral.
GACAGAGGCCUCGAGCGUUAGGCGGAAUCACUGGGCUUAAAGCGUGUGUAGGCGGACCCCUAAGUGUCUUGUGAAAUCCCACGGCUCACCCGUGGAACUGCUGGGCAUACUGGGGGUCUUGGGCCGUUCAGGGGCGACUGGAACAAGCGGUGGAGCGGUGAAAUGCGUAGAUAUCGCUUGGAACGCCGAAGGUGAAAACAGGUCGCUGGGGACGCGCCGACGCUGAGACACGAAAGCCAGGGGAGCAAACGGG